UACGGAGGGUGCAAGUGUUAUCCGGAAUCACUGGGCGUAAAGCGUCUGUAGGUGGUUUAAAAAGUCUGCUGUUAAAAAUUGAAGCUUAACUUCAAAGGUGCCGUAGAAACUUUUAAACUUGAGGAUGGUAGGGGUAGAGGGAAUUUCCAGUGGAGCGGUGAAAUGCGUAGAUCUUGGAAAGACCACCAAUGGCGAAGGCACUCUACUGGGCCAUGACUGACACUGAGAGACGAAAGCUAGGGGAGCAAAUGGG
RNAcentral lists this ribosomal RNA (253 nucleotides) under uncultured bacterium. RNAcentral describes it as "partial 16S ribosomal RNA". It matches the Rfam family "Bacterial small subunit ribosomal RNA", at positions 524 to 776 of the family's 1533-position model. The record is from RNAcentral.